Molecule: ribosomal RNA, 253 nt
Filed under: uncultured bacterium
Lineage: Bacteria
Description: partial 16S ribosomal RNA
Rfam family: Bacterial small subunit ribosomal RNA
Source: RNAcentral
GACAGAGGGUGCAAACGUUGUUCGGAAUUACUGGGCGUAAAGCGCACGUAGGCGGACAUUUAAGUCAGGGGUGAAAUCCCGGGGCUCAACCUCGGAACUGCCUUUGAUACUGGGUGUCUUGAGUAUGGAAGAGGUAAGUGGAAUUGCGAGUGUAGAGGUGAAAUUCGUAGAUAUCAGGAGGAACACCUGUGGCGAAAGCGGCUCACUGGACCAUAACUGACGCUGAUGCACGAAAGCUAGGGGAGCAAACAGG